RNAcentral lists this ribosomal RNA (3729 nucleotides) under Triticum aestivum (bread wheat). RNAcentral describes it as "partial small subunit ribosomal RNA". Lineage: Eukaryota; Viridiplantae; Streptophyta; Magnoliopsida; Poales; Poaceae. The record is from RNAcentral.
CUUCUCUUUCUUUCAUGGUGCCGCCCAUCCAACACCAACCAGUACAAUACGAGGACUAGGAGGUGUUCGUUGGUUGUCCUGUUACGGCGAUUAGCCAUGGAAGCAGCAGGAGAUGAGGAGAGGCCCUUGCUCCAUCACCCACAUCCUCAUCUCUAUCAGGAUGGGAAUUCAAGAUACACUAGUGAUGGAACAGUUGAUGUUGACGGACAACCUGCUGUUAAGGCAAGCACAGGGGACUGGAGAGCCUGCUUCUUUGUCCUAGGUAUCCAAUUCAGCGAAUGCCUGGCCUUCUUCGCUAUCUCCAAGAACUUGGUCACCUACCUAACCAGCGUGCUCCACGAAAGCAACAUCGACGCGGCGAGGAAUGUGUCCACUUGGAUUGGCACCACAUUCUUCACGCCGCUUGUUGGAGCUUUCUUAGCAGACACCUAUUGGGGAAGAUACAAGACAUUAGUGGUUUUCCUCUCGGUUUAUGCUCUCGGAAUGCUUGUCCUCACGGUUUCGACGACACUCCCAUGGAUGCGGCAAUCCUCCAGCAAUGAUGAGAUCCAUCGUAUCGCCGUCUACACAGGACUCUAUCUUACAGCCCUUGGCAAUGGUGGCAUCAAGCCAUGUACUUCCACUUUUGGUGCUGACCAGUUUGACAUCACCGACCCGUCGGAGCAGUUAAAGAAGGGCUCCUUCUUCAAUUGGUUCUACUUCUCGACCAGUAUUGGUUCCCUUCUAUCGACCACUAUGAUCGUGUGGGUGCAAGAUAAUGCUGGUUGGGGCAUUGGCUUCGCGGUCCCGACGAUCUUCAUGAGCCUCAGCUUCACAGUGUUCAUCGCUGGUAGGAGGAUCUAUAGGUACAAGACACUGGGAGAGAGUCCCAUGACAAGAGUGUCUCAGGUUGUUGUUGCAGCUGCAAGGAAUCACCAUAUGGAUUUGCCAGAUGAUUGCUCAACCCUACAUCACCUGCCUUCAGCACCAUUAGAGGCUACGUUCAAUGUUCACCAUACCACUCAGUUCAGAUUUUUGGACAAGGCUGCCAUUGUACCAGCACCAACAGUGGAGAAGAAAGGCACGUCGACAAGCCCGUGGAGGCUAUGCGUAGUGUCUCAUGUGGAGGAGGUGAAGAUGUUGUUGCGAUUGUGCCCCACAUGGGCGUCCUUGGUGAUAUUCUUCAUGAUCAUGUCGCAGAUGUCGUCGACGGUGAUUGAGCAGGGCAUGAUAAUGGACAACCGCGUGGGGCCAUUUGUUGUGCCGCCAGCCUCCAUCGCCAGCUUCACCGUGGUUACCACGCUCGUGCUAGUCCCCAUCUACGACAUGGUGCUGGUGCCCUUGGCCCGGCAUGCCACCGGUGAGGAUCGAGGCCUCACGCAGUCACAGCGCCUCGGCAUUGGCUUCGCGAUGUCCACACUCUGCAUGGCCUACUUGGCGCUGCUCGAGAGGAACCGGCUCGCGGUAGCCGCGACCGGGGAAAUGAUGAACAUCAUGUGGCAAGCACCGGCGUAUGUUGUGUUGGGUGCCGGCGAGGUGUUCACGGUAAUUGGCAUGUUGGAGCUCUUCUAUGACCGGUCACCAGACGGAAUGAGGAGCCUAUGCACUGCACUAUCACAGCUCGCUGUCGCGGUGGGGAACUACCUCAACUCAGCUGUGCUGGGCGUUGUCGCAUCCACAACGGUGUGGAUUUCGGAGGACCUCGACAAAGGCCACCUAGACUACUUCUUCUGGACGAUGGCGGCGCUCGGUGCCCUGAAUCUGUUGCAAUUUUUGUUCUUCUCCAUGAGGUACAAUGAUAACACAGCUUGUCGACAACGCCAUCCAUAUUAGUGAUGUUUCACUUUGUCUGAAGACAGCCUAUCAAGCUUCUUGACUAUUAUUCAGAAAACUACAAAGACCUUGUCCCGUGAUUAAGUUUCAUUGGAUCGAUGGAUCAAAACUUACGCAUGGAAGAUAUAUCUAUGAACUCGAUCACUUGUGUAGUUUUCAGGAUUUGCCCAACAAAGUAUACUACUAAAAGCUAGCUUGUACUGCAAGGAGUAGUAUUUUGCACGGCGACAAAAUUUGGAUGAAAAAUUGAUGUUGAAAAAUCAUAUGCAUGUGAGAGUAUGCUUUUACGUGCGCGCGUGGGGUUGGUUCACGUUUGAUAAUUUUGUACUCCCUCCGUCUCAUAAUGUAUGGCGUUUUUUUAUCCUUUUAUUCGGAUCUUUUAAUCUUUCUACUGUUCCUUGGCAUCAUUGGGCGUGAAUCUCUGUAUCAGCCGCGCCAGGUUUUGGUACGAUGAACCUCCUAUGGCCAUGGCCGUGCGAGCUCUCUCGCCGUACUCCUUGGCCUUCCUCCUCCUCUCCUCGGCCACGUCGCCACUGCCCAUGAGCUCCGACACCGCCCGCGCGAUGUCUCCGCGCGCCACCAUUACGGCCUCGCCGUCAGGCACAGCUGCGCCGACGGGCACGCCCACCCCGAGCACGUCCACGGCCAGACGCUCGUUCAGGAACUGGUCUGCCAAGUGCGGCCACGUCACGACCGGCACGCCGUGUGCGAUCGACUCCAGCAGCGAGUUCCAGCCGCAGUGUGUCACGAAGGCCCCCACGGCGCGGUGCGACAGGAUGGCGAGCUGCGGCGCCCAGCCGCGCACCACGAGGCCAUGACCCGCGGUGCGUGCCUCCAGGGCUUGCAGCCACUCCAGCACCUCCGGCGAGGCCGCCACCUCGGACUCCUUCACGACCCAAAGGAACGGCCUGCCCGAGUCCUCGAGGCCAUGCCCGACCUCGUACAGCUGCUCGUGAAGCACCCGCACGAGGCUGCCGAAGCUGGCAAAAACAACGGAGCCGGUGCACAUGGCGUCGAGCCAUUCGGUGACCGCGCUCUGGUUGACGGCGGUGGGUCUGUCCUUGUCCCCGCGGCACGCCAGGGCCGUCUCGUCGCGGUUGCUGAGGCAGAACGGCCCGAGCGCCCACACCGGCAUCCCCAGCGCCGCCUCGUAGCACGACACGAACUGUCCCUCGAGGUCCAGGAACGUGUUGGCGACGGCGCCGUCGGCCAUGCGCAUGGCCUCCAUGGCGUUCUUCUGGAACGCCUCCCACGCAGGAGUCUUCAAGAAAGCGGAGGAGCAGGUAGCCCUGGUCAUCUCCAGGCGCACCGGCAUGCCUGGCAUGACGCACGUCUCGCGCUCCUCAACAAGUCCGUGCGUGGCGACGUUGAGGUCGCAGAGCGAGUAGAAGCAGGAAGGGCCGUGGAAGAAGAGCAGCGGCACCCCAACGCUCCUGGCCACGCCGGCAGUCCAUGCGUUAGCCCUGUCGUAGAUGAUGCAGCCGGGCCGCCGCCCCAGCGCGCGCAGGUAGGCCUCCAAGGGGCCGGCGAGCCUGUGGAGGGCCUGGAACAUGGGGGCUAAGGUGUCGAUGUCGUCGCCACAGCCGGGGGGCAGUCCGUCGUCGGCCGGCGCGAACGGGAGCUCGACUAUGUCUAGGGGCAGCUUGGCGCGCCGCGCAGAGUCGGCGACGCCCUGGAGGCGCGCGGCGUUCCAGGGCGUGGUCACCACGCUCACGCGCGCACCGCGUCCUGCGAGGAGGCGUGCAAGGUCCACCAUCGGGAUGGUGUGGCCCUGCGCCACGAGGGGGACGAGAACGAAGUGUGUCGGGAGCGCUGACGUAGCAACGUUGAACUCGUUCGUCUCCGUCGACGGCGCCAUUGAAGACGUACGUGUAGGCAUGCAGCUCUAACGGAUGCGGAAGAAUCGAGUGAUGAGCU